RNAcentral lists this unclassified non-coding RNA (275 nucleotides) under uncultured fungus. RNAcentral's name for it is "partial contains 5.8S ribosomal RNA, internal transcribed spacer 2, and large subunit ribosomal RNA". Lineage: Eukaryota; Fungi. The record is from RNAcentral.
AACGCACAUUGCGCCCGGUGGUAAUCCGCCGGGCAUGCCUGUCCGAGCGUCGUCUCAACCCCUCGAGUGCCCUGGGCGCUCGGCGUUGGCGGCCUGCGACCCCGCAGCCGCCCAAAUGCAGCGGCGGCCCCGCCGCGGCGCACCUGCGCGAAGUAAGGUCUCAGAAAACCUCCGCGCAGUGCCCCGGAGGGUGCCUGCCCCUAAACGCAAACCGCCUCCGGGCGGCGAGAACGAAGUUUGACCUCGGAUCAGGUAGGGAUACCCGCUGAACUUAA